AACUCCACCACCCACAAAUUAUAAAUAAAAACUCUUUCCUUUCGAUACUCCCCCACUUGCCUCCGUUGCCAUCAACACCAUCACUUUCUUUCUCUAUUUACACUUCACUCUUUAGCUCCGAUGCAACGACUGCGACGUUGCUACAAUGAACUCGUCCGCCUCGACCUCAACCCUCCUCCCACCACCCCCACUUCCUCCUCCUCUUCUCUAUCCAUCGAUGCCGUAGAAUCUCCUGAGACACGAAUCCAACGGCUUAUAUCGGAGCAUCCGGUUAUUAUAUUCUCUCGAUCUUCAUGCUGCAUGUGCCACGUCAUGAAGAAGCUGCUCGCUAACAUCGGUGUCCACCCCACUGUGAUCGAGUUAGACGACCAUGAGAUCUCCGCUCUCC
This 388-nucleotide unclassified non-coding RNA is filed under the name Hevea brasiliensis (rubber tree). The record is from RNAcentral. Lineage: Eukaryota; Viridiplantae; Streptophyta; Magnoliopsida; Malpighiales; Euphorbiaceae.